This 253-nucleotide ribosomal RNA is filed under the name uncultured bacterium. RNAcentral describes it as "partial 16S ribosomal RNA". It matches the Rfam family "Bacterial small subunit ribosomal RNA", at positions 524 to 776 of the family's 1533-position model. The record is from RNAcentral.
CACGUCGGGGGCUAGCGUUGUCCGGAUUCAUUGGGCGUAAAGGGCGCGCAGGCGGCUCGGAAAGUCGGGUGUGAAAACUCGGGGCUCAACCCCGGGCGUGCAUCCGAUACUGCCGGGCUUGAGGCAGGUAGGGGAGAUCGGAAUUCCUGGUGUAGCGGUGAAAUGCGCAGAUAUCAGGAGGAACACCGGUGGCGAAGGCGGAUCUCUGGGCCGGUCCUGACGCUGAGGCGCGAAAGCGAGGGGAGCGAACAGG